AUGGAAAAACAAGCAUAUAAUCACAUAAUCAGUAUUAGGUUUUCACAUAUUUUUAUCUGGUCGAAGACAUAAUCAUUGUGGCUUCUUAAUGAAAACCCUAAAUUUUUUUUUUUGUCAACCCUAAAUUUUAAUCGGAAGAAAUAUGGAGAUCAUAUGAAUACUCAUACAAGAAAAAUAAACUUUUUUGAAUGCCCUUAGUCAAAAAACAAAAAAGAAAAAUAAACUUUAGAGAGAUCAAUUCAUCAGAUAUAUUCGUGGUAAGUUGUAAAUUAAAUGAGUUAGCUUGAUAUGAUCGUAGUGAUGAAACUAUCAUGAAAGUGACGCAAGGUAUGUAAUCGUCUUCCACAAUCAAAGUGUAUAAAAUUCAUAUCUACACAUACUCUUAUGUAUGUAUAUAUUUGUAUUUUUGAUGAUUGAGAAAAUGACUAGUAGGAAGAAGAGAAAUGGACCAUCACUUGAAAUUGUGGACCAUCACUUCUUUAACAUUUAGUUACCCUUACUAUUACAUUUAGUUACUACUUACUACCUUAGCCUCUCUGUAACGUAUUACAUUUUUAGAAGGCAUGGUUCUUAAAUAAUUUAUGAAAUGUUGUUCUUACAUAUAUGUUGUUAUAUUUGAUAAAAAAUAAAAACUCAAUGAUCUAAAGAGAGACUUGAUAAGUAUUCGAUUGAAGAAGAAAACAAAUGGAACCAAACCGGUUCGGUAUUGGAAUGAGUGCGUCGUGGGGACCGGACAGUAGCAUACACAUAUAUGGACAAAU
This 761-nucleotide long non-coding RNA is filed under the name Brassica napus (rape). RNAcentral describes it as "long non-coding RNA (BNAP_LNC007831)". Lineage: Eukaryota; Viridiplantae; Streptophyta; Magnoliopsida; Brassicales; Brassicaceae. The record is from RNAcentral.